UGGCCUUGACAUGCUGAGAAUCCUCCAUCUCUGGAGGAUUCUCAGCAUGUCAAGGCCAGGUAAGGUUCUUCGCGUUGCGUCGAAUUAAACCACAUGCUCCACCGCUUGUGCGGGCCCCCGUCAAUUCAUUUGAGUUUUAACCUUGCGGCCGUACUCCCCAGGCGGUCAACUUAGUGCGUUAGCUGCGCCACUAAGGAUUCAAGAUCCCCAACGGCUAGUUGACAUCGUUUACGGCGUGGACUAC
Molecule: unclassified non-coding RNA, 244 nt
Filed under: uncultured Alteromonadales bacterium
Lineage: Bacteria; Pseudomonadati; Pseudomonadota; Gammaproteobacteria; Alteromonadales
Description: contains 16S-23S intergenic spacer region
Source: RNAcentral